AGGGUUUGAUCCUGGCUCAGGAUAAACGCUUGCGGCGUGCCUUAUGCAUGCAAGUCGAACGGUUCUUUGGUUUUCGGAUCAGAGGAUAGUGGCGAAUGGGUGAGUAACACGUAAGUAACCUAUCCCCGAGUAGAGAAUAACUCCGAGAAAUUGGAGCUAAUACUUUAUGUGGUGGUCAAGGUAAGGCUUGAUCACUAAAGCCUUAGGGCGCUCGAGGAGGGGCUUGCGGCUGAUUAGCUAGUUGGUAGGGUAACGGCUUACCAAGGCAGUGAUCAGUAGCUGGUUUGAGAGGAUGGUCAGCCACACUGGGACUGAGACACGGCCCAGACUCCUACGGGAGGCAGCAGCAAGGAAUAUUGUGCAAUGGGCGAAAGCCUGACACAGCGACGUCGCGUGGGGGAUGAAGGCUUUCGGGUCGUAAACCCCUUUUCUCAGGGAAGAAUAAUGACGGUACCUGAGGAAUAAGUCUCGGCUAACUACGUGCCAGCAGCCGCGGUAAUACGUAGGAGGCGAGCGUUAUCCGGAUUUACUGGGCGUAAAGAGGACGUAGGCGGUUCUUCAAGUCAGAUGUAAAAUCUCCCGGCUUAACUGGGAGGGUGCAUUUGAUACUGUCGGGCUAGAGGGCAGCAGAGGGAGGUGGAAUUCCCGGUGUAGUGGUGAAAUGCGUAGAUAUCGGGAGGAACACCAGUGGCGAAGGCGGCCUCCUGGGCUGUUUCUGACGUUGAGGCCCAAAAGCGUGGGGAGCAAACAGGAUUAGAUACCCUGCUAGUCCACGCUGUAAACUAUGGACACUAGGUAUGGGGAGUAUCGACCCUCUCUGUGCCGAAGCUAACGCAUUAAGUGUCCCGCCUGGGACUACGGCCGCAAGGCUAAACUCAAAGGAAUUGACGGGGGCCCGCACAAGCAGCGAGCGUGUGCUUAAUUCGAUGCACGCGAAGAACCUUACCAAGCUUGACAUGCGGAAGUAGAACCCGGAAAGCGACGACUGUAAUCAAGACCGCACAGGUGCUACAUGCUGUCGUCAGCUCCGUGCUGAGGGUGGUAGUUCCGGUACGGACGCACCUCGUGCAAGUGUUUUCUCUGCGAACUGCCUGCAACGAGAGGUGGGAAUGACUCAGUCAACGCCUUAUGCUGGCUACAAACGCUACAAUUGGUGCUAUAA
This 1162-nucleotide ribosomal RNA is filed under the name uncultured bacterium. Its description in RNAcentral is "bacterial SSU rRNA". It matches the Rfam family "Bacterial small subunit ribosomal RNA", at positions 8 to 1242 of the family's 1533-position model. The record is from RNAcentral.